Molecule: long non-coding RNA, 483 nt
Organism: Drosophila rhopaloa
Lineage: Eukaryota; Metazoa; Arthropoda; Insecta; Diptera; Drosophilidae
Exons: 2
Source: RefSeq, a predicted model, not a curated record
CUCGGGCAAAAGCCCCGUGUAGUUGGCAGUGGGCUGGCUAACGGUUUGGCUGCAGAUAUUCACACCUCCAGCAGAUAUUCGGUUCCAGCUAAAACCAAUAAAGCCUGGCUUGGGGACCAACUGCGCUUUAACUUGUAUAUAUAUUUUUAUGCGAAUAUAAUUAGUUAUAGUUUGGCUAAUUGCUUGCUGAAAUGUUAACACUUGGUUGGCUUUCGAUCCAAUUGCAACUACAUCGAACAAUAACAAUAAAAUUCCACGCUACGUUAACUUUAAAUAUGUAAUAUUCUUGAUCCCAUUCUUGAAUCCACUUUAAAACGUUUGGAUAUUAAUUACUUUAUAAUGGUAUAUAUUUUGGUCCAAGGGUUUUUUGAUUUCUCGAUAGAUUUAAGUAUGUUAAGUUAAUUUGUAUAUAGCUCAAUUUGUUCACUUUUCUUAUUUCGUUCUCUUGUUCUUACCCAUAAAUAUAUCUUUAAAAUUCACAAA